CUGCCCUUAUGGGAGUGUUUGGAGGCUCAGCACCAGAAGCCGAAGGGACAUAAGACUCUAUAAAGCAAAUGUUUGUGGAUAUUUCUGUAUAUACUGAAUGCUCAUGGGACUGUUACAGUCAUCUGGCCUCAUCGUGUGGCAAAUCCAGAUGAGGAUAAUAUUGCUCCUUUCUGCUGUCAAGAAAAUUUUGUGUUAACUGGAAAGUGAAGCCCACCAAUCCAGUAAAGCAUACCUAGUAGAAAAGGCAGAACC
RNAcentral lists this long non-coding RNA (252 nucleotides) under Numida meleagris (helmeted guineafowl). RNAcentral describes it as "lncRNA (ENSNMEG00000002299.1)". Lineage: Eukaryota; Metazoa; Chordata; Aves; Galliformes; Numididae. The record is from RNAcentral.